This 567-nucleotide ribosomal RNA is filed under the name uncultured bacterium. RNAcentral describes it as "bacterial SSU rRNA". It matches the Rfam family "Bacterial small subunit ribosomal RNA", at positions 48 to 611 of the family's 1533-position model. The record is from RNAcentral.
UUAACACAUGCAAGUCGAACGAAGCACAUGAAACGGACAUCUUCGGAAGGAAGUAUUAUGUGACUGAGUGGCGGACGGGUGAGUAACGCGUGGGUAACCUGCCGUAUACAGGGGGAUAACAGUUAGAAAUGACUGCUAAUACCGCAUAAGCGCACAGAGUCGCAUGACUCGGUGUGAAAAACUCCGGUGGUAUACGAUGGACCCGCGUCUGAUUAGGUAGUUGGCGGGGUAACGGCCCACCAAGCCCGCGAUCAGUAGCCGACCUGAGAGGGUGACCGGCCACAUUGGGACUGAGACACGGCCCAAACUCCUACGGGAGGCAGCAGUGGGGAAUAUUGCACAAUGGGGGAAACCCUGAUGCAGCGACGCCGCGUGANCNNANNAAGUAUUUCGGUAUGUAAAGCUCUAUCAGCAGGGAAGAAAAUGACGGUACCUGACUAAGAAGCUCCGGCUAACUACGUGCCAGCAGCCGCGGUAAUACGUANGGGGCAAGCGUUAUCCGGAUUUACUGGGUGUAAAGGGNAGCGUAGACGGCAUAGUAAGUCUGAUGUGAAAGGCGGGGGCUCA